RNAcentral lists this unclassified non-coding RNA (306 nucleotides) under uncultured fungus. Its description in RNAcentral is "partial contains 5.8S ribosomal RNA, internal transcribed spacer 2, and large subunit ribosomal RNA". The stretch from base 1 to 52 matches the Rfam family "5.8S ribosomal RNA", at positions 103 to 154 of the family's 154-position model. The record is from RNAcentral. Lineage: Eukaryota; Fungi.
AACGCACCUUGCGCUCCAUGGUAUUCCGUGGAGCAUGUCUGUCUGAGUGUCAUGAACCUCUCAAUACCCACCAUCCUUUGUUGAUGGCCGUGGAAUUGGAUCGUGAGUGCCUGCUGGACCUCGUGAAUCAGCUCACUCUAAAUGCAUAAGCGGUUGGACCGUGUGUGGUCAGACCUGGCGUAAUAGUUUUUGUUCGCUGGGGAUUCACCCUCGUGGUGAGCCACUCUAUCUGGACAUCUGCUCAGAGCAAACCCCCUAGUCUAAGUGUUAGACCUCAGAUCAGGCAGGACUACCCGCUGAACUUAA